UUCUUAUAGCUGUUUGUCAUG
This 21-nucleotide non-coding RNA is filed under the name Arabidopsis thaliana (thale cress). The record is from RNAcentral. Lineage: Eukaryota; Viridiplantae; Streptophyta; Magnoliopsida; Brassicales; Brassicaceae.